GGGCCCUUAGCUCAGCGGAUUAGAGCGGCUGACUACGGAUCAGCAGGCCACAGGUUCAAAUCCUGUAGGGCCCA
This is a non-coding RNA of Methylacidiphilum infernorum V4, 74 nucleotides long. The record is from Rfam. Lineage: Bacteria; Pseudomonadati; Verrucomicrobiota; Methylacidiphilae; Methylacidiphilales; Methylacidiphilaceae.